RNAcentral lists this ribosomal RNA (464 nucleotides) under uncultured bacterium. RNAcentral's name for it is "partial 16S ribosomal RNA". It matches the Rfam family "Bacterial small subunit ribosomal RNA", at positions 339 to 795 of the family's 1533-position model. The record is from RNAcentral.
CUACGGGACGCUCCAGUGGGGAAUAUUGCACAAUGGGCGAAAGCCUGAUGCAGCGACGCCGCGUGCGGGAAGAAGGCCUUCGGGUUGUAAACCGCUUUCAAUUGGGAAGAAGAGAUGAGCGCUAAUAUCGCUCUGAUUUGACGGUACCUUUAGAAGAAGCACCGGCUAAUUUCGUGCCAGCAGCCGCGGUAAUACGAAAGGUGCAAGCGUUGUUCGGAUUUACUGGGCGUAAAGAGAUCGUAGGUGGUUUGUUAAGUCGGGUGUGAAAUCCCAGGGCUCAACCCUGGAACUGCACUCGAUACUGGCAGACUAGAGUUCGGGAGGGGUAAGCGGAAUUCCGUGUGUAGCAGUGAAAUGCGUAGAUAUACGGAGGAACACCUGAGGCGAAGGCGGCUUACUGGACCGAUACUGACACUGAGGAUCGAAAGCGUGGGUAGCAAACAGGAUUAGAUACCCUAGUAGUC